GUAGGUGGCAAGCGUUGUCCGGAAUUAUUGGGGCGUAAAGCGCGCGCAGGCGGUCCUUUAAGUCUGAUGUGAAAGCCCACGGGCUCAACCGUGGAGGGGUCAUUGGAAACUGGGGGACUUGAGUGCAGAAGAGGAGAGUGGAAUUCCACGUGUAGCGGUGAAAUGCGUAGAGAUGUGGAGGAACACCAGUGGCGAAGGCGACUCUCUGGUCUGUAACUGACGCUGAGGCGCGAAAGCGUGGGGAGCGAACAGGAUUAGAUACCCUGGUAGUCCACGCCGUAAACGAUGAGUGCUAAGUGUUAGAGGGUUUCCGCCCUUUAGUGCUGCAGCUAACGCAUUAAGCACUCCGCCUGGGGAGUACGGUCGCAAAGACUG
This 375-nucleotide ribosomal RNA is filed under the name uncultured organism. RNAcentral describes it as "partial 16S ribosomal RNA". It matches the Rfam family "Bacterial small subunit ribosomal RNA", at positions 527 to 896 of the family's 1533-position model. The record is from RNAcentral.